AACGCACAUUGCGCCCGCCAGUAUUCUGGCGGGCAUGCCUGUUCGAGCGUCAUUUCAACCCUCGGCAGCGCCUGACUCCCCAGGAGCGCAGGCGCCGCCGGUGUUGGGGCUCGGGUCCCUGCCGUCCGCGGCGGUCCCGUCCCCUAAAUACAGUGGCAAGCCUACCGUAGCCUACCUGCGUAGUAAUGCACAUCGCAGUCUAGCGCCGCGGCUGGUCAAGGCCGUAAACUCCCUCUCACGAGGACUCUUUACCAAGGUUGACCUCGAAUCAGGUAGGAAUACCCGCUGAACUUAA
RNAcentral lists this unclassified non-coding RNA (295 nucleotides) under uncultured fungus. RNAcentral describes it as "partial contains 5.8S ribosomal RNA, internal transcribed spacer 2, and large subunit ribosomal RNA". The stretch from base 1 to 52 matches the Rfam family "5.8S ribosomal RNA", at positions 103 to 154 of the family's 154-position model. Lineage: Eukaryota; Fungi. The record is from RNAcentral.